AUGGCAGAUAAUAUAUCAACAACUAGUUCACUGGAAGGACGACAUGAAGAGCUACGGAUGGACCAAUGCCUCCUGGAAGCAGCCACAUCCGGUGAUUCCGCAUCAAUGAAGGCCAUGGCAUCGCAGGAUCGAAGCAUGCUUCUUAGCACAACUCCAGCUGGGAACACCUGUCUUCACAUAUCGUCCAUCCAUGGCCAUGAGGCAUUUUGCACGGAUGUGGUGGCCCUGGAGGCGUCUCUUCUCACUACAGUAAACUUGGAUCGAGAGACGCCACUUCUCACGGCGGUGAAAAGUGGAUUUGUCAUCUUGGCUUCCGUUCUACUCCGAUUGUACCGUGAAUGGCGAUUGAGCAAGGCAAUCUUGGAAAAAGACAUUGAUGGCUGCAAUGCACUGCACCAUGCCAUUCGGAGUGGCCACAGGAAGCUUGCGCUGGAGCUGAUAGAAGCAGAGCCGGCUCUGUCGACACAUGUGAAUAGAAUGAACGAGUCACCCAUGUAUAUCGCAGCGAUGAGGAAUUUUACUGAUAUUUCAGAGAAUUUACUUGAAAUUCCUGAUUCUGCUCAUAUGGGACCAUGGGGCCAGAACACUCUGCAGGCUGCCGUGAAAAAUGGAAACGCAGGUUUGGCUAAGAGAAUUAUGGAAACACGUCCUGGGCUGGCCAAAGAAGCCGAUAACAAUGGGUGUACUCCACUAAGUUCAGCUGUAUACCGUGGCCUGGUUGACAUGGCACGAGUAUUGCUGGAACAUGAUUGCUCUUUAGGGUAUGAGGUGCCAAGUAAUGGUAAUCCUUUCCUUAGUUGUGCUGCAUAUGAAGGUCACCUCGAUGUUGCUCAAGAGCUUCUUAAACACUGUCCUGAUACUCCUUACCGUUCAACACAAGAUGCCUGUUGGACAUCCCUCCAUGUAGCUGUAUACGAGGAUCAAGUGGAGUUCACAGAAUUCAUUUUGAGGACCCCACAACUUCGGAAACUCAUUAACAUGCGAGACUCCAACGGUAAAACUGCUCUACAUUUGGCAGUAGAGAAGUGCAAUCCUAAAAUGGUUGCUGCUUUGCUGUCUCACGAUGAUAUAGACACAACUGUGCUUGAUAACAAAGGUGUUACACCAGCUUGGGUAUUAGCUCACGUCAUUGAUCAUGCCAAGACUUUAAACUGGAAUGAAGUGAGCAUGCUUAUGGUGAGAGCUGAUCCCCGAGAUGCCAACACUCUUUAUAAUCUUCACACCCAUACCAAACACAAAGCGACCUUGCAAUCAAGGAAGGAAGCGAAGUCACUAACUCAAACAUACACAAGUAACACUUCGCUAGUGGCGAUCCUCAUCACGACAGUCACCUUUGCCGCUGCCUUCACCCUGCCUGGAGGAUACAGCAAUGACGCCGGAAGCGAGGGACUUCCCAUCAUGUCUAGGAAGUUUGCAUUUCAGGCAUUCUUGAUUUCUGACGUCUUAGCAAUGUGCUCCUCGUUUGCUGUCGCCUUCAUAUGCAUCAUAGCAAGGUGGGGAGAUUAUGAGUUCCUGAUUUAUUACAUAUCCGCCACUAAGAAGCUCAUGUGGUUUGCAUACGUGGCAACAACUACGGCUUUUUCAACUGGUUUGUACACGGUGCUGGCUCCACAUCUCCAUUGGUUGGCUAUUGCAAUUUGUCUUGUGGUAGCUUUGUUACCCAUUCUCACGAAACUGUUGGGCGAAUGGCCAGUUUGGAAGCUCAGAUUACGGUUGGGUAAAGCUUUCAACUCAGACCUCCUUGACAUGGUGUGA
RNAcentral lists this ribosomal RNA (1755 nucleotides) under Triticum aestivum (bread wheat). RNAcentral describes it as "partial small subunit ribosomal RNA". Lineage: Eukaryota; Viridiplantae; Streptophyta; Magnoliopsida; Poales; Poaceae. The record is from RNAcentral.